AAGGGGUGUUUUGAACACCAAGAACUG
This 27-nucleotide transfer RNA is filed under the name Sceloporus virgatus. RNAcentral describes it as "partial tRNA-Ser". Lineage: Eukaryota; Metazoa; Chordata; Lepidosauria; Squamata; Phrynosomatidae. The record is from RNAcentral.